RNAcentral lists this ribosomal RNA (408 nucleotides) under uncultured bacterium. RNAcentral describes it as "partial 16S ribosomal RNA". It matches the Rfam family "Bacterial small subunit ribosomal RNA", at positions 28 to 526 of the family's 1533-position model. The record is from RNAcentral.
GACGAACGCUGGCGGCGUGCCUAAUACAUGCAAGUAGAACGCAGUUGCGAACGGGUGAGUAACGCGUAGGUAACCUGCCUCAUAGCGGGGGAUAACUAUUGGAAACGAUAGCUAAUACCGCAUACUGUGAGAUGGACCUGCGUUGUAUUAGCUAGUUGGUUAGGUAAAGGCUCACCAAGGCGACGAUACAUAGCCGACCUGAGAGGGUGAUCGGCCACACUGGAACUGAGACACGGUCCAGACUCCUACGGGAGGCAGCAGUGGGGAAUAUUGCACAAUGGGCGCAAGCCUGAUGCAGCCAUGCCGCGUGUAUGAAGAAGGCCUUCGGGUUGUAAAGUACUUUCAGCAGGGAGGCGUUACCUGCACAAGAAGCCCCGGCUAACUCCGUGCCAGCAGCCGCGGUAAUUC